UACGUUGGGGGCAAGCGUUGUCCGGAAUCAUUGGGCGUAAAGAGCGUGUAGGCGGUCCGGUAAGUCGGCUGUGAAAGUCCAGGGCUCAACCCUGGGAUGCCGGUCGAUACUGCCGGACUAGAGUUCGGAAGAGGCGAGUGGAAUUCCCGGUGUAGCGGUGAAAUGCGCAGAUAUCGGGAGGAACACCUAUGGCGAAGGCAGCUCGCUGGGACGUUACUGACGCUGAGACGCGAAAGCGUGGGGAGCAAACAGG
RNAcentral lists this ribosomal RNA (253 nucleotides) under uncultured bacterium. Its description in RNAcentral is "partial 16S ribosomal RNA". It matches the Rfam family "Bacterial small subunit ribosomal RNA", at positions 524 to 776 of the family's 1533-position model. The record is from RNAcentral.